This 317-nucleotide unclassified non-coding RNA is filed under the name fungal sp. Its description in RNAcentral is "partial internal transcribed spacer region". The stretch from base 1 to 46 matches the Rfam family "Eukaryotic small subunit ribosomal RNA", at positions 1786 to 1831 of the family's 1831-position model. Lineage: Eukaryota; Fungi. The record is from RNAcentral.
AAGUCGUAACAAGGUAACCGUAGGUGAACCUGCGGUUGGAUCAUUACUGAAAAAGAUCCGGCUUCGGCCGCGUGUCUGUCGCUUCUGCGGCGUGAUACACCAACCUCAUUGUGAACCGUUUUGUCUCUGGCGGUUGGGUGUGGUUCGGGCGUCCGCUCGUUCCAGGCCUGUCAGCUGGGCUCCGCCUCUCGGGGGGGUGGUCCAGCCGUGGACACGCCGCCAACCACUUGUUUGAACUUUUAGUACCAUGUCUUCUCUAACGACGCUUCAUUAUAAAUGACGCAAAACAACUUUUGACAACGGAUCUCUUGGCUCUC